AUUGAACGCUGGCGGCAUGCCUUACACAUGCAAGUCGAACGGUAACAGGUCUUCGGAUGCUGACGAGUGGCGAACGGGUGAGUAAUACAUCGGAACGUGCCUAGUAGUGGGGGAUAACUACUCGAAAGAGUGGCUAAUACCGCAUGAGAUCUACGGAUGAAAGCAGGGGAUCGCAAGACCUUGUGCUACUAGAGCGGCCGAUGGCAGAUUAGGUAGUUGGUGGGAUAAAAGCUUACCAAGCCGACGAUCUGUAGCUGGUCUGAGAGGACGAUCAGCCACACUGGGACUGAGACACGGCCCAGACUCCUACGGGAGGCAGCAGUGGGGAAUUUUGGACAAUGGGCGCAAGCCUGAUCCAGCAAUGCCGCGUGCAGGAUGAAGGCCUUCGGGUUGUAAACUGCUUUUGUACGGAACGAAAAGCCCCGGGUUAAUACCCUGGGGUCAUGACGGUACCGUAAGAAUAAGCACCGGCUAACUACGUGCCAGCAGCCGCAGUAA
This 498-nucleotide ribosomal RNA is filed under the name uncultured bacterium. RNAcentral describes it as "partial 16S ribosomal RNA". It matches the Rfam family "Bacterial small subunit ribosomal RNA", at positions 30 to 523 of the family's 1533-position model. The record is from RNAcentral.